This 69-nucleotide transfer RNA is filed under the name Xylosandrus crassiusculus. RNAcentral's name for it is "tRNA-Ser". Lineage: Eukaryota; Metazoa; Arthropoda; Insecta; Coleoptera; Curculionidae. The record is from RNAcentral.
AGCUAAUGAACUUGUAUAAGUGUAUAUUUUGAAAGUAUAAAAAAGAAUAAUAAUAAUUUCUAUUAGCUU